GAUGAAGAGCGCAGUGAAAUGCGAUAAGUAGUGUGAAUUGCAGAAUUCAGUGAAUCAUCGAAUCUUUGAACGCACAUUGCGCCCCUUGGUAUUCCAUGGGGCAUGCCUGUUCGAGCGUCAUUUGUACCUUCAAGCUUUGCUUGGUGUUGGGUGUUUGUCCAUUCUCUUGCAGAGGGACUCGCCUUAAAGUAAUUGGCAGCCAGUGUUUUGGUUUUGAAGCGCAGCACAAGUCGCGAUUCAACGCUAUACGCCAGCUUCCACAAGCCUUUUUCACUUUUGACCUCGGAUCAGGUAGGGAUACCCGCUGAACUUAAGCAUAUCAAUAAGCGGAGGA
This 334-nucleotide unclassified non-coding RNA is filed under the name soil metagenome. RNAcentral's name for it is "partial contains 5.8S ribosomal RNA, internal transcribed spacer 2, and large subunit ribosomal RNA". The stretch from base 1 to 120 matches the Rfam family "5.8S ribosomal RNA", at positions 35 to 154 of the family's 154-position model. The record is from RNAcentral.